GAUGUAUCUAUUUUAAUCAGGAGUCGUAACAUGUCCUAAAAAAUAGGCAUAAUUAUUUUCUCAACUUUAGUACAGUGCAUUGGGAGUUACAGCGUGCACUUCUCGGAGUCAUGCCUAACAGAAGUGAGCAAGAAAAGACAACACGCUUCAUUUUAAAUGAUCACUUAACACUUUAUCCCUGUUUUGUUUAACAGUUUGGUUUAAUUUUAAAAAUAUAAAGAAGAAAGCACAGAUUCAGGGCUCAUAUGACUCAUCUCUAUCCUGGAGCUGUAUCAUUGACAACAAUGUGAGACUGAGCUUUAACUCCCAAAUUAGCUUCAUUUUAUGAGUGCUAAUGAACCGUGCAGACGACAUGUACUUGUCCCAAAAUAAACCAGGUUUUUUGUCACAGAUACAUGUAUUGCUGCCAGUUCUGCCUUUUCAAAUUUAUUCAAAAUGAAACACGUGCAUAGGACUAAAACAAAUUUGUCCUGCAAAUAGAUUUAUAGCCAUGAAGUUGACCUUUUAGGUAGACAAAAGUCACUUAAGCACUGAGCCAGACCCAUUUAGCUAUGCAGUCCUCGAGGAGUCACAGCUCGGAGGUGAUAAUAUUUAAUGCAUUAGAUCAUGGAAUAAAUUCUAAAGUAAUGUUUCAAACCACAGAUUAUGAGACUCAUAAAUCGCAGCUCACUUGUUGGGAGGUUCUAAAGAGAAUAAUCACAAUAAUUCAUAUCCUACAAAUGUAUUGAACUGAACCAGUACAGUGAAAUCCCUCAAAGACUACCUAUCUCCAGCCUGACAGCACUAAGUGAUUAUGAUCAUGAAAGCAUGUUGGGCUGGAGUUAAAUUUAAUGCAUUGUAAUUGUGCUCAAAAAUGUUGUAACUAAAACAUUAUACUCAUAACUGUAUUCAGGUGUAUUGUAAAGGAAAGAAAAUGAGCUUUAACUGCCAAUGUUUGUCAUGUGUUACAAAUGUGUGCAAACAGUGUGUCUGGCAUUUUACAUAAACACACGCUUACACCUUCAUCUGUUACGUACGUGUACCACUACCAAAGCAGUCCACAAAGAAUAACAUAUAGUUUACAUCAAAACACAGUCCUGUGAAAUAUUGAACCUAUAAUAACUCUUUACUGUAAUUGUCAGAAUGUGUCUACUGUAGUAUCCCAGUUACAACACAUUUGAGUGAAUUUACAAUACAAUGAGAUAUAUCUGCAAAGUAUUCUAUCUGAAACUCAGUUCAGAUUUUUCAGUGUUUUGGCCUUAGGCUCAUACAUUAUAAACAUUUGAGUAACUUCAAAUUCUUAUGCAAACAAAUACGGUUAUUGAGCUUUUUGUCAGUUAUUUGGUUUAUUAUGUUUUAUUUUAUAUAAAAAAAGAAUGCACUAUGACUUUUACAGGUCAAAAAUGAUGUCACUUUCUGAAAUGCACAAUGUAGUAGUGUGCAUAUAGCCAUAGAAAUAGAUUUAAUAAUUUCAUACAUAAAGAUUACAUCUGUCAAAAACUCUUGCACUGCACUAUGCAUAGAUAUGGAUUAUCCUUAGACAAUCUCUGCAAACCUGCCCACUGCUCACCCCUCCGUCACCAAAAGCAUCCAUAAACACAAAAUUUAAUAAUACUAUCACAUCCCAUAACUCCUCAUUUGGAAUUCAGCACACAUGAAUAUUCAGAGGUACUUUUGUGCCACAUUUUGGAUAAUUCAUUUAUUCGCAAAAGUAAUAUAUUUUUAAUUACAUGUGUUUUUAGGGGAAUACUGAGUGGAUUUGCUUGGCAUUGUUUGUCUCAUUUGUUCGGUUCGGGGUCGCAAGAAAUUAGACAGUUUUUCUGCAAUUAGCAGUCUCUGCUUGUCUCUUUCUUAGGGAGGGAUUGAUGGUUAGUGUAACAACUGUGUAAAAAUCUGCAAGUGCUUUAGCAUUAUUAGACUGAAAAUCACAACAAAUGAAUGCAGCGAUUGAAUGGAUAAAAUGCAUAAAAUUUUGAAUGCUCUAAAGGAAGCUAAACACAUCAUGUAGGCAUAACGCCACCUAACCAGUUUCUGGGUCAAUAGCGAAUGCCUAGAAAUGUGACUUUCCCUGCAAACAUGCAGCAAAUUCACAUCAUAUGCAGUAUUAUGCACUGAACCUGUCAUUUUAAUUCAGCUAAUUACAGGACAUGGUGUUUCUGGACCUGGUCUGCAUGUCACCAAAUAUUACACUGCAGUAUUAGUCAUGCUGUUUACCAUGCUGUUUACAGUCUGGGUUUGUUGCCUUUCACGUGUUCAGUCAUUUUGUGAUUCUUUUGUCACCUGACCUGUCUCUGUGCUUUAGAAAUUCAGCAGAACAAAUGAACUGAAGUCUGCACAGAAAAUAAAAAAGCAUGUACCUACACAGCAGGUUUGUUUUUAAAGACUACAUUGCUGUGAGUCAGUGUUGAAAACAAUGUAAAACUGCAGACAUGCACAGACUGAUCCACAAAAAAUGUUUGUGUUGUGAACAGUGGCUGGCAUUUAAUUGAUUGUGUUUCAACUUUUUUUUUUACACGUGUCAGUUUUUACAUCCCAAACUAAUGCGACAAAAGAGUGGAUAAUCCAGUAUUAAAAGGAAAAUGUAUUGUGUGGGAGAUUCCAUACUUUAUUUUAUUUAUAUAUAUAUUUUUGGUUUAUUUAUUUUUUUACAGAAUCUUGCAAAAAAGAAACUGCAUAAUCGAACAACAGGAUCUGCUGUAUAUAACAGAAAUUUGUAAUCUGUUUUCUCUUGUUCAGAUUUUUGUAAUCCUUGACCAAAUGCAGAUUUUUUUGUCACAUGUAAGACUACAAAUAUUGAUCAUCCAAAAUUGUGUUAAAUUGAAAUGUGACUGUCCUGUGUAUAUGUGCAAAUGUUCAGUUCGCAAAGAAGACACGGUGAAGUCAGUGUCUUAUUCGAUUGUGUUUGUUUUUCUUAUGAAACAGUGAUUUCCUGUGUAAACCUUUGAUUUGUAAAUAGAACACUUCAUCAGCCUUUUCAUGCAAACUUGCAUCUUUUUUUGAAAAGCAAAAACCUGGUCUCUUCUUGCAAAAACACAGUACAACUAGGAAUAUGUGGGGUAAAUAUAUCUACAAUGUGCUGUUUCUUUAGUUGCUAGCUAAUGAAUAAAACAUAUGCAUUCAU
Molecule: long non-coding RNA, 3100 nt
Organism: Astatotilapia calliptera (eastern happy)
Lineage: Eukaryota; Metazoa; Chordata; Actinopteri; Cichliformes; Cichlidae
Source: Ensembl